GACGAACGCUGGCGGCGUGCUUAACACAUGCAAGUCGAACGGAAAGGCCCUGCUUUUGUGGGGUGCUCGAGUGGCGAACGGGUGAGUAACACGUGAGUAACCUGCCCUUGACUUUGGGAUAACUUCAGGAAACUGGGGCUAAUACCGGAAAGGAGCUCCUGCUGCAUGGUGGGGGUUGGAAAGUUUCGGCGGUUGGGGAUGGACUCGCGGUUUAUCAGCUUGUUGGUGGGGUAGUGGCUUACCAAGGCCUUGACGGGUAGCCGGCCUGGGAGGGUGACCGGCCACAUUGGGACUGAGAUACGGCCCAGACUCCUACGGGAGGAAGCAGUGGGGAAUAUUGCACAAUGGGCGGAAGCCUGAUGCAGCAACGCCGCGUGCGGGAUGACGUCCUUCGGGUUAUAAACCGCUUUCGCCUGUGACGAAGCGUGAGUGACGGUAAUAGGUAAAGAAGCACCGGCUAACUACGUG
This 468-nucleotide ribosomal RNA is filed under the name uncultured bacterium. RNAcentral describes it as "partial 16S ribosomal RNA". It matches the Rfam family "Bacterial small subunit ribosomal RNA", at positions 28 to 507 of the family's 1533-position model. The record is from RNAcentral.